Molecule: ribosomal RNA, 420 nt
Filed under: Triticum aestivum (bread wheat)
Lineage: Eukaryota; Viridiplantae; Streptophyta; Magnoliopsida; Poales; Poaceae
Description: partial small subunit ribosomal RNA
Source: RNAcentral
AUGACUUCAUGCUUCUCUGAUAUAAUCAAAGAUCAUUCCCUAGAUUUCAUUUGCCUUCAAGAAACUAUGAAAAAAAACUUCCCCCCGAAAAAUCUUAGAAAGAUUGAUCGUAUGAAUAAUUUUGAUUGGAAUUGGGUACCCUCAAAUGGUAAAGCAGGCGUUAUCCUUUGUGGUGUCAGGAAGGAAACCUUAGAAGUAAUAUCCUGGACCUCGGGUAGAUUCUGUUUACAGGCAAACCUAUAUGAUGUUAAGCUCGAUCGUGUUUGGGCGAUCGUUACAGUCUAUGGGGCGGCUCAUGACGACAGUAAAGAUGACUUCCUUGUUGAGCUUGCCUCAAUGUGCUCGCGAAUUCAGGUCCCUUACAUAGUGGGGGUGACUUUAAUAUCUUGCGAAGUAAUGAUGAUAAAAAUAAACCUAUGA